UGCCCCAGUAACGGCGAGUGAAGCGGCAACAGCUCAAAUUUGAAAUCUGGCCCCUCCGGGUCCGAGUUGUAAUUUGUAGAGGAUGCUUUUGGUGAGGUGCCGCCCGAGUUCCCUGGAACGGGAGGGUGAGAGCCCCGUCUGGCUGGCCACCGAGCCUCUGUAAAGCUCCUUCGACGAGUCGAGUAGUUUGGGAAUGCUGCUCAAAAUGGGAGGUAUAUGUCUUCUAAAGCUAAAUAUUGGCCAGAGACCGAUAGCGCACAAGUAGAGUGAUCGAAAGAUGAAAAGCACCUUGAAAAGAGGGUUAAACAGUACGUGAAAUUGUUGAAAGGGAAGCGCUUGUGACCAGACUUGGGCGCGGCGGAUCAUCCGUGCACUUCGCCGCGUUCAGGCCAGCAUCAGUUCGUCGCGGGGGAAAAAGGCUUCGGGAACGUGGCUCCUCCGGGAGUGUUAUAGCCCGUUGCAUAAUACCCUGCGGUGGACUGAGGACCGCGCAUCUGCAAGGAUGCUGGCGUAAUGGU
This 518-nucleotide ribosomal RNA is filed under the name Trichoderma viride. Its description in RNAcentral is "eukaryotic LSU rRNA". It matches the Rfam family "Eukaryotic large subunit ribosomal RNA", at positions 76 to 638 of the family's 3401-position model. Lineage: Eukaryota; Fungi; Ascomycota; Sordariomycetes; Hypocreales; Hypocreaceae. The record is from RNAcentral.